AAUAUAUAGAUGUAUAGUUCAAAACAGUUACAUAUCGGGGCCAAUAGAGAAUUGGAAGGCGGGUAAUCACCAAAACCCCCCACGCUCACAGCAAAGAGAAGAGAGCGAGAGAGGGAAUGGAGAGAAUGCACGUCUCCGUGAGAGUGAGGCCUCUCUCCACCGAGGAUGCCAAGGCCAGUCCAUGGCGUAUUUCUGGGAAUUCUAUUUUCAUACCCAACCAACCCUCCAAAUUUGAAUUUGUUACUGGUUGCAUUCUGUUGUCUUACUGGUUGGUUCUGUAAGGCACUGUUUUUGCAUAUGGACAAACAAGUAGUGGAAAAACGCACACAAUGCGUGGAUCAAAGUCUGAGCUUGGAGUCAUCCCCCUUGCUGUCCAUGAUCUUUUUAACAUUAUACAACAGGUACUCAUUCCCACGGUGGCCUCUCUUGGUUUCUUUAUUGCUUAUGAAUAUCUUUUACCAGUAGGAUAGCCAAAUAGAAGUUUGUUUAUGUCAAAA
Sesamum indicum (sesame) is the source of this 497-nucleotide long non-coding RNA. RefSeq lists it as uncharacterized. NCBI's taxonomy places the organism in Eukaryota, Viridiplantae, Streptophyta, Magnoliopsida, Lamiales, Pedaliaceae. The record is from RefSeq and is a predicted model, not a curated record.